Molecule: long non-coding RNA, 1756 nt
Filed under: Musa acuminata (dwarf banana)
Lineage: Eukaryota; Viridiplantae; Streptophyta; Magnoliopsida; Zingiberales; Musaceae
Description: long non-coding RNA (MACU_LNC000162)
Source: RNAcentral
UAUACAGUACCGUACUGACAGAAGGUCGAAACUUUGGUAUGGUAUGAUAUUUCAAUCAUUGGAAAAGAGAACCUUAACUGGUUUCUUUUGGAUCCAAAAGUCAAGCAAUGAGGUUGUUCCUUGGUUCAUGCUCAGUAGCAUUAAAAUUGAUUGGACUGGUCAAUUUAGCCUGGUCCAUGUGCCAGUUCAUAUGUGGACUGAUGAAUGCCGUAUGGGACAUACUGGUCCAUUUGAAAUUUCAAUGUUUGUCUGUCAUAUAUAUCAAGGAACAAGGUCUCACUUGGAUCCAUAUGUACUGGCAGUAAAUCGGAAUGCAGACCAUCUCUUUAUGGAUGGUCCCAUCAAUUUUUUCUCAGUAAAAUGCUUCUUGGUUGCCCCCCCCCCCCCACCACAAUCACCAAUGCCAUGUUCAAUGCAUUUACCUUAAUGCCCAUAUCUCUCAAAGUCACAUUUACCUUUCAUAAUGUGGUCACUGCUUCUUCUCAAGUUGUGAUACACCAUCUAGUUACGUGGGUGUUUCUAUGUUCUAAGUAUGUAUAACCAAAUGAUUUUUUUAUUAUUACCUUUUCGAGGAAAACUAGAGAGGUCAAUUUAGAUAUGGAUCUAACUGACGUUCUUGUCUAUUCAAUUUGAAUACUUGCGUAUGAUAUAGUUAUCCACCCCAAGGUUUUAACUGUUGAUUGACCAGUUUUGGCAAAUGAUGAAAUGGUGCACAACCAUGAUAUCCGAGAUACUGAGCAUCAUAUACAGAUUUGUGCUGUCCAAUGUGACUGGAUAAGAAUAAAACUAGAGAGGUCAAUUUAGAUAUGGAUCUAACUGAUGUUCUUGUCUAUUCAAUUUGAAUACUUGCAUAUGAUCUAGUUAUCCAACCCAAGGUUUUAACUGCUGACUGACCAGUUUUGGGAAAUGAUGAAAUGGUGCACAAUCAUGAUAUCCGAGAUACUGAGCAUCAUAUACAGAUUUGUGCUGUCCAAUGUGACUGGAUAAGAAUAAAAAUGGUACUUAGCUUGUUGUUCCUUUACCUGUGCUUGGCUGGACUCGUAAGCACCAGUUAAUUUGUAUAUUAAAUCAUGAUCUUCUAUCUAUAUUUAGAUGACAUGUUAUGCAAGUGUGAUUCAGUGAAGGGCUUUUGAUAGAUUAGUUGCAUAAUCAUCAAGCAUAUUUCCUUUUGAAUGAUGGUAAGUAGCAUACAUAAGGUUGCUUCAUUUCCAAGUGGUUCCAUCAUGGAUUCAAGGUUGCAAAAGAAGAUAUCUGAUCUGCCUAACCAUUGUCUAUCAGUACAUAGUUGGGAGCCUCCUGGAACUGUACUUGCUCUUCUUAUAUAUAUAUAUAUAUAUAUAUAUAUAUAUAUAUAUAUAUAUAUAUAUAAGACGAUACAUAGUCUAGCGACCUUGCACUUUAGUUCUAUGUCAUUGUGAUACUCUUGUUCUAAGGCUGUUCAGAUUAAAAAGGUGGAAUUAUUUUCAUCUUACUGGUGAGACUUAUGUACUUCAGUGGCAGGCAUGCAUUGACAUUGCAAUUUUUCUUAAAUUUUAUCACAAUCUUUAUCUUGUUGCCUCCUAUAUAUGAUGUGUGGCUCUAUUUGCUGUUUGCACUGAAGUAAUCUUUUAUCUGAUUUUUAUGUGAUAGCUGCUUUUUAUAUAUAUGUACUGCCAUGAUAUGCUUGGCUUGUGUUGCAUGACAGGAUCUUUCUCAGCCAAAAUCUGAGGCUAGCCCUCCUGAGGGAGUGUUGGCAGUUCCUUUAUUGAGACACCAG